Molecule: ribosomal RNA, 492 nt
Filed under: uncultured bacterium
Lineage: Bacteria
Description: partial 16S ribosomal RNA
Rfam family: Bacterial small subunit ribosomal RNA
Source: RNAcentral
AGUGAACGCUGGCGGUAGGCCUAACACAUGCAAGUCGAACGGCAGCACAGUAAGAGCUUGCUCUUACGGGUGGCGAGUGGCGGACGGGUGAGGAAUACAUCGGAAUCUACUUUUUCGUGGGGGAUAACGUAGGGAAACUUACGCUAAUACCGCAUACGACCUACGGGUGAAAGCAGGGGAUCUUCGGACCUUGCGCGAUUGAAUGAGCCGAUGUCGGAUUAGCUAGUUGGCGGGGUAAAGGCCCACCAAGGCGACGAUCCGUAGCUGGUCUGAGAGGAGGAUCCGCCACACUGUAACUGAGACACGGUCCAGACUCCUACGGGAGGCAGCAGUGGGGAAUAUUGGACAAUGGGCGCAAGCCUGAUCCAGCCAUACCGCGUGGGUGAAGAUGGCCUUCGGGUUGUAAAGCCCUUUUGUUGGGAAAGAAAAGCAGCAGGUUAAUACCCCGCUGUUCUGACGGUACCCAAAGAAUAAGCACCGGCUAACUUCGUG